AUUCAGCUGAUGAGUCCCAAAUAGGAGAAAACGCACGUCCUGAAU
Non-coding RNA from Schistosoma margrebowiei, 45 nucleotides. NCBI's taxonomy places the organism in Eukaryota, Metazoa, Platyhelminthes, Trematoda, Strigeidida, Schistosomatidae. The record is from Rfam.